This is a long non-coding RNA of Bombus huntii, 2746 nucleotides long. RefSeq lists it as uncharacterized. NCBI's taxonomy places the organism in Eukaryota, Metazoa, Arthropoda, Insecta, Hymenoptera, Apidae. The record is from RefSeq and is a predicted model, not a curated record. The transcript is spliced from 2 exons.
GCAAACAAUGCAGACUAAUGUAAUGAAAUAAACAGAUUUACAACCAUUAGUACUCGCGGAGCGUAUCGUACUUUAUAUUCAAACGUAUUAAGAGAUCUAUGUCACAUUUCUAUGCUGUAUAACGAAAUGAGGCUUUUCACGUUACUAUGCUCUUAAGGGGGUGUCUUGAAUUAGAAUCUUCUAAAACAGCGUCUUUUUGUGAUUUUUUUUAGAAGGGAAAGAAAGAAAUGGUUAUUGAAUUUUGAGGUAUGGUUUUAUAUACAGGGUGGUUGGUAACUGGUGGUACAAGCGGAAAGGGGGCGAUUCUACGCGAAAAAAGAAGUCGAAAAUAUAGAAUAAAAUUUUUUUUUAAUUUUUUUUUUUAAUUUUUCCAUCGAGACAACGAUAUACAGUGAGAUCCGUUAUAACGAGACGUGAUAAAGUGCACGCGUACCGAGCGAAAAUUCAAAGUCGGUUUUCUCGAAAACAAAGCCUCAAACGCAAAAUUUUUAUUCUAUAUUUUCGACUUCUUUUUUCGCGUAGAAUCACCCCCUUUCCGCUUGUACCACCAGUUACCAACCACUCUGUAUAUUUUUAAAGUAAAAAGAAAUUAUAACAGAUUUCUAAGCCUAUUUCAUGGGCUGCAGUUUUCAAUCGGCGGGGAAGAUCCACUUCGUAAUUCUUGACCGAAACAAAAGACCAAAAAAGGAUUAAAUUAUAUAUUUUUCUUCUCGAUGAACUAAAAAAGGGCAGGAAAUAGUGUGAAAUUAAACAUUUUGGCGGGUUUAAAGAAAAAAUGUGUUUUAUAAAGAGAUAAAAUAAACUUUAAAGUGCUAUAACAAUUACUUAAAUAAACUUUCUGACUACCUUUUUUAGUUCAUUGAGAAGAAAAAUAUAUAAUAAUUUAAUCCUUUUUUGGUUUUUUGUUUCGGUCAAGAAUUACGAAGUGGAUCUUCCCCGCCGAUUGAAAACUGCAGCCCAUGAAAUGGGCUUAGAAAUCUGUUAUAAUUUUUUUUUUUACUUUAAGUUAUAGUUAUAGCAAUUUUUCCUCCAUUUACCUCCAUAUAAUGUCGAUUACAUAUUAAUUACAAACGAUAGCUACCGGGAGGUUGGACAGUUUCUAAUCUCUGCUAAUAUUCUCAUACUUAACAAACAACGUUGAUAACAAGAUUUUCAAUGAAAAAAAAGUGUCGACAAACUAUCUUAAUAUUUAAAUUAAUCUUACAACAUCCUGAUUUGCUUUUGUAUCUAUUUCCUCAGAAGAUAGAUUUCUUCUCUAAUAACUAUCAUUAUUAUAUAUUAUGAAUCACAAUUUCUACGAUCUCUAAUUACAAAUCCUCGUUCUGACAUCCGUGAACCAAUUUCGCAAUAAAUAUAUUUGUACAAUAAUCGCAAUCAAACUAGUACAAGGAUAGUUGUGAAGUAAGGCAUAAAAUAGACUAGCAUCAUCAACUUGUCAAUCAACGUCUCGAGUCCACGACGAAUAGUAAACUAUUGAGUUAAAGCGUUGUCAUACGUAUAAUGAGCUGACGUCAAGAAUAUCAUUUUCUUAUUUUAUUCAACGCUGAGAAUAUCAGUGUCGCAAGUGUUAAAAGAUGUGUACAUUCACUACGACGAUGACGAACAACAAAUUUAAGUGACGUUUCUUGAUCUUUUCUUCUUGUACUUCCUGUGUCUAUAACAGCAAAGUCAUAUCAUUUAGCGAUUUCAACACUCAGGUAUUGCAACUAUGAACUGAAAAUCAUAGUAUUGUUCUCCUUCAGUUAUAAUUUGAAUAUGAUAUUGCAGAAAGAAAUUGUUAUGUAGGUAUAUAAAGAUAUUCGUUCUCUAUGUUUUUGUUUCUUCGCUAAGAUAAACUCAAAGACUGAUUCAUGGUCAAAGAAACGCUUCAGCAACUUUGGUAUGACAGAUUACGAAAGUCGACGGAUAAGAUUUUCUUUCAGUUCCUAUAUCUAGAGAAUGCCAAGAAUUUCUGUUUAUUAAAUAAUAACGUUCAAUUCGAAUGAAUAAGAACUUAAUCGAUAUAUAUUUAUACGAGAUUGUGUAUAAAUGUAUAUAAAAGUAUAAACCAUUUUUCUGCAACUUCAAAUAUUCCUUGUAUUUGACUCCAGCAUGAAACCACAAGAAUUGAGGGCAUUAAUAUAAAGCAGCUUUUCUCGUGAAUGAAAAAGAGAAGGAAAUGAGUGUAUCUAUUAAAGCAAAAGGUAUCGAAACUUUGAAGAUCCCAAUGUUAGUGAUCAACAACGCUGAUAUUUAAAAUUUCAGCUGAUUUUAAUCAGCAAUCAGGCCGGAACUCUUUCUUUCUAAUGAAAAUAGGAGGAGGCACCGCUUCGCAAAUUAAAGCCGGGUUUUUAUUCAAAAUAUUCCAUGCAAAUUCCAAGCGAAUAAGCCUAUAAAGGAAAGCAUUGAUUGUAUCGAAGGAAAAACUAAUAUGCCAUUGGAAGAAAGUAGAAAAAUCGAUAUUAUAACUGACAGCGUUUCAUUACUUGAGCAUAAUUGCUGACGCCUGUCCGCUAAAUGAUUAAUAGCUUACGUACAAAAGCUGAUCCAUGCCACUAUUUAAGUUUCUGUGGGUCACCAGCAGAUUAUCCUUCGGAUGAUUUAUAGGUUUUGUGACGCAUCUUUUCUCGACCUUUUCAUCGAGAUAAAUUGACCAAAUAUCGAUAUGUAAUAUCCAAUAUGUGUGUUUAACAACGUCCUAACUUUAUUUAGAAAAUUAUGUCGGUUGUUUGCUUUUGAAUGAAACAGAAGUUGUGAUCAAAAAUGA